Molecule: long non-coding RNA, 1069 nt
Organism: Marmota monax (woodchuck)
Lineage: Eukaryota; Metazoa; Chordata; Mammalia; Rodentia; Sciuridae
Exons: 2
Source: RefSeq, a predicted model, not a curated record
GCAAAUACCAAAUAAGAGGAUGUUAGGGCACAGGAGGAGGACCGGGUUAAUUGGGUCUUGCUGAGUAUGGGGGGCAAGGGUCACAGCUGGGCCCUGCAGGGUUCCUGUUUGCCUUUGAUUCCAUCUGGGCAGGGAGGGAACUGGCCCCUAAGCCCGUGAGGAAGGUUUGCUUUGGCCAGAGAUCUGACCCAGGCCCUGGCCCGGAGCACCCCGCCUCCUUGCUCCGCCUAUCAAGAGGCAGCCUGGCUUGGUCCCCAGCCUCCUCUUUCCUCCCUUACCAGCCCCUUCCACUUAGCCCAGGAUGUAGCUCUGUUUAUCUGCCUGUUCCCUUUGGCCUCUGGACACCCAACUAGGACAGGAUGCCCUGCAAACAUCUGGCACGCGAAGACAUGGCCCUCCUCCCACAGAAUGGACUCUUCCUCGAACUCCAGGGAGCUUGGCCUCCUCGGCACCUCAGUUUCUCUGAAAGUCCAGGAUCCUUCUGCUCUAGUGCUCCUGUCUGGAAGUUCCCAUCACUUCCCGGGUGUGUGUGUGUGUGUGUGUGUGUGUGUGUGAGACUUCGUCGACAGUACAUUCUCUUUCUGACAGCUAUUGCAUCAUUCAGACAUUCAGUCUACGUGCUGGACACUUACUGUGCACCAUAUUCUACGAAGAUGGCAAGAAGGAGAAGAUGGCUCUUAGUUGGAAGAUUCAGGAAAGUCUUCGUGGAGGAGGUGACAUUCUAGUUAGGCCAUGACAGAGAUCUGGCUCAGAGAGAAAAAGGAGAGGGAACAGCCUGAGCACAGGCAGACGGCGCAGUACCCAGAGCCCAAAGGAGAAACAUGGAGAUACUGGAAGAGGAUGUUGGAGCCAAAUCAUGGGCCCUGAACGCCUGUCAUUUUAAACGCUUGUGUUUCCUAAAAGGCUCUGAUGAUAAGAGUCACCUGGAUGCUUGUUAAAAAUAUAAAACAGCAGGCACGUCUCUCAGAGAUUCUGAUUCAUGAGGGUGGAGGUGGGCAGUGGGAGUCUGUAUUUUUACCAUCAAGCAAGUUUGAGAAACAUCGCUAUAAACAAUAUGGAACCAUUUAAA